GACGAACGCUGGCGGCGUGCUUAACACAUGCAAGUCGAACGGUAGGGCCCUUCGGGGUACACGAGUGGCGAACGGGUGAGUAACACGUGGGUGAUCUACCCUGCACUUCGGGAUAAGCCUGGGAAACUGGGUCUAAUACCGGAUAGGACGCCUGGCUUCAUGGUUGGGGGUGGAAAGCUUUUGCGGUGUGGGAUGGGCCCGCGGCCUAUCAGCUUGUUGGUGGGGUAAUGGCCUACCAAGGCGACGACGGGUAGCCGGGCUGCGAGGGUGACCGGUCACACUGGGACUGAGAUACGGCCCAGACUCCUACGGGAGGCAGCAGUGGGGAAUAUUGCACAAUGGGCGCAAGCCUGAUGCAGCGACGCCGCGUGAGGGAUGACGGCCUUCGGGUUGUAAACCUCUUUCAGCUAUGACGAAGCGCAAGUGACGGUAGUAGCAGAAGAAGGACCGGCCAACUACGUGCCAGCAGCCGCCGUAA
RNAcentral lists this ribosomal RNA (478 nucleotides) under uncultured bacterium. Its description in RNAcentral is "partial 16S ribosomal RNA". It matches the Rfam family "Bacterial small subunit ribosomal RNA", at positions 28 to 523 of the family's 1533-position model. The record is from RNAcentral.